UCCCAGAGCCCCUCCCCAGCUCUCCAGCCUUUGCCCAGCCCUCGCCCUGACCCCGUUGUUUUCGCAGCUCCCGCUGUCCCCGUUCCGGCCCCUCCCUGCUCCAGGAGGCUCCCAGGGACGAUCCCGAGGCGCUGGAAAUUCCCAAAAUCCCGGGUCCUGUUCCACAUCCCCCGGAGCCGCCCCAGAGCUCCCCCCUGGGCCCCUCUCCGGGGUUCCCUGGGGGGUUCCAGCCCCGAAAUUCCGCGGCCCCGCAGCAGAGGGAGGAGGAGCCGGCGGCCGGGGCGCAGAGUGAAGGGUCAGAUUCCGUCAUUUUGCUGAAGGUCAAGGAUUCCAGGACUCCGGCUCCAAGCCUUCCCUUUUUCCAGGCCGAGCUAUGGAUCAAGGAGCUGACCAGCGUCUACGAUUCCCGAGCCAGAGAGAGGUGGAGGCAAAUCGAGGAGCAGAAAGCUCUGGCCCUGCAGCUCCAGAGCCAGGUGAGAAUUACAUGGAAAAAUGCACUGGCUUGGAAAAAAAAAAUUGGGGGAAAAAAGUGCAAGAACAAAAAAAAAAGCAGGUAAAAUCAAUUUUUAAAAAGCUUUUGUGCUUCCCAGUCAUGGGAGAAACAGCAAGGAAAAGAGGAAAUGUUGUCCCAGAUUGGAAAUCAUGCCAAAUUGGAAAUUUUGGUACUGGAAAGGUGGUUAUGGCUUGGAAAAGGGGUUAGAAUCCGUGGAAGUGGGGAAAAAAAUGAGAUGUGGCACUUGGGGACCAGGGUUGGGUGGCUCUGGAAGGGUUAAUUUCUGGAGAUUUUUCUGACUUUAUUGGUCCUAAAUCCUCCUUUUCCCCGAUCCCAAAUGCCUCUGUGAGGAGAAUCCCUGAUCCCGGCUCUCUCAUUCCCAAAUCCCUGAUCCUGGUUCUGUCAUUCCCAAAUCCCCACAAAUCCCCAGUCCCUGACCCCGGCUCUCUCAUUCCCAAAUCCCUGAUCCCAACUCUCUGAUCCCCUUUUCUUGACCCCGGCUCUCUCAUUCCCAAAUCCCCAUUCCCCAAUCCCAGCUCUCUCAUUCCCCAUUCCCACUCCCAGCUCUGGUCCCCUUCCCUGACCCAUCUCUCCCAUUCCCCAUUCCCACUCUCAGCUCUGGUCCUCACUCCCAGCUGACCCCGGCUCUCUCAUUCCCAAAUCCCCAUUCCCCAAUCCCAGCUCUCUCAUUCCCCAUUCCCACUUCCAGCUCUGGUCCCCUCCCCUGACCUGUCUCUCUCAUCCUCCAUUCCCAAUCCCAGCUCUCGUUCCCCACUCCCAGCUCCCAUUCCCCACUCCCAGCUCUCUCAUUCCCCAUCCCCACUCCCAUCCCCAUUCCCAUCCCAGCUCCCAUUCCCCAUUCCCCAUCCCCACUCCCAUUCCCACUCCCCACUCCCAUCUCUCCCACUCC
This 1403-nucleotide long non-coding RNA is filed under the name Ficedula albicollis (Collared flycatcher). RNAcentral describes it as "lncRNA (ENSFALG00000027368.1)". Lineage: Eukaryota; Metazoa; Chordata; Aves; Passeriformes; Muscicapidae. The record is from RNAcentral.